This 305-nucleotide ribosomal RNA is filed under the name uncultured bacterium. RNAcentral describes it as "bacterial SSU rRNA". It matches the Rfam family "Bacterial small subunit ribosomal RNA", at positions 337 to 638 of the family's 1533-position model. The record is from RNAcentral.
ACCUACGGGGGGCAGCAGUGAGGAAUAUUGGUCAAUGGGCUUACGCCUGAACCAGCCAAGUCGCGUGAGGGAAGACUGCCCUAUGGGUUGUAAACCUCUUUUGUCAGGGAGCAAUUGGCGCUACGUGUAGCGUUAUCGAGAGUACCUGAAGAAAAAGCAUCGGCUAACUCCGUGCCAGCAGCCGCGGUAAUACGGAGGAUGCGAGCGUUAUCCGGAUUUAUUGGGUGUAAAGGGUGCGUAGACGGGAAGGCAAGUUAGUUGUGAAAUCCCUCGGCUUAACUGAGGAACUGCAACUAAAACUAUCU